This 425-nucleotide ribosomal RNA is filed under the name uncultured bacterium. RNAcentral describes it as "partial 16S ribosomal RNA". It matches the Rfam family "Bacterial small subunit ribosomal RNA", at positions 354 to 796 of the family's 1533-position model. The record is from RNAcentral.
GUGGGGAAUAUUGGACAAUGGGCGCAAGCCUGAUCCAGCCAUGCCGCGUGAGUGAUGAAGGCCCUAGGGUUGUAAAGCUCUUUCACCGGUGAAGAUAAUGACGGUAACCGGAGAAGAAGCCCCGGCUAACUUCGUGCCAGCAGCCGCGGUAAUACGAAGGGGGCUAGCGUUGUUCGGAAUUACUGGGCGUAAAGCGCACGUAGGCGGGUAUUUAAGUCAGGGGUGAAAUCCCAGAGCUCAACUCUGGAACUGCCUUUGAUACUGGGUACCUAGAGUAUGGAAGAGGUAAGUGGAAUUCCGAGUGUAGAGGUGAAAUUCGUAGAUAUUCGGAGGAACACCAGUGGCGAAGGCGGCUUACUGGUCCAUUACUGACGCUGAGGUGCGAAAGCGUGGGGAGCAAACAGGAUUAGAAACCCCGGUAGUCC